AAUAUAGUUCAGGGAUUAAAAAGUUUGCUGAGACCUUCGAUAUAUCCUGCCCAAACUGUUCUGUUCCAAUAGUAAAAAGAAAUACAUCAGUUUAGGGAUGAAAAGUAAAUUAACUGAAGAAAACUGUGAGGAACAAUACAAAAUUUGAGGAAAAUCAAUACUAUUCAGAUUUGUAUGAAGAUGACAAAAGACCAGAAUAUAAUGGAGAUACAGAAUGAGAGUGGAUUUUUUUUUUACUUGGGCCAGGAAAAAAACACCUAGCAACACCUUGGAGACUAGCCACAAAAUGUAUAGCGAUGCACAAAUCACCAUCACAUACUUUCAUCAAAUGGAAAACAGCAGCAGGAACAUUAAUCAGAACGUCUCCUUUUGAGCUCAUAUGUAUGUAUUAAACCAUAACACGUUUUCAGUUCUUGACUGAAGUGUGUCUUUAAAUGUAUGCAUGCUUGGUAUGCUUUGAAUAGCCUAUAUGUGCUCUACUGUAUGUGCAUGACUGAAUCUGUCAGCAGUUUGUGUGUGAAUACAGUCAGCAGUAGUGUUGGAUCAGACAGAGAUAAUGAGAGAUUAAUCACAGGGAUGUG
Molecule: long non-coding RNA, 581 nt
Organism: Cyprinus carpio (common carp)
Lineage: Eukaryota; Metazoa; Chordata; Actinopteri; Cypriniformes; Cyprinidae
Exons: 3
Source: RefSeq, a predicted model, not a curated record